This 206-nucleotide ribosomal RNA is filed under the name uncultured bacterium. Its description in RNAcentral is "partial 16S ribosomal RNA". It matches the Rfam family "Bacterial small subunit ribosomal RNA", at positions 568 to 774 of the family's 1533-position model. The record is from RNAcentral.
AGCGCAGGUGGAAAAUCAAGUCUGUUUUAAAAGUGCGGGGCUCGACCCCGUGAGGGAAUGGAAACUGGUUUUCUUGAGUGCAGGAGAGGAAAGUGGAAUUCCUAGUGUAGCGGUGAAAUGCGUAGAUAUUAGGAGGAACACCAGUGGCGAAGGCGACUUUCUGGACUGUAACUGACACUGAGGCUCGAAAGCUAGGGGAGCGAACG